Long non-coding RNA from Columba livia (rock pigeon), 26865 nucleotides. RefSeq lists it as uncharacterized. Lineage: Eukaryota; Metazoa; Chordata; Aves; Columbiformes; Columbidae. The transcript is spliced from 7 exons. The record is from RefSeq and is a predicted model, not a curated record.
UCCUCUUCUCCAAACUAAAGAGACCCAGCUCCCUCAGCCUUUCUUCAUAAGGGAGAUGCUCCACUCCCUUAAUCAUCUUCGUUGCCCUGCACUGGACCCUCUCCAGCAGUUCCCUGUCCUUCUGGAACUGAGGAGCCCAGAACUGGACACAAUAUUUCAGAUGCAGUCUCACGUUUUGAUAAAGUGCUUUUAUUACUGGAUUUCUGUUAUGCUUUUAUUACUGGGCAGUAACAGAUUCUGGAGAUUUCUGUAAAAUUCGGUCAGUCUCAUCAGGCUUCAACAAACUCUUUUGUUCUUUGAACAGAGAAAUUCAGCAUUAGCUAAACUCUUCAGAGCAUGGGUGUUUUUGUUGUUUUUUUUUUUUUUUUCCAGUAGGAUAUGCACACUGAUAAUGACAAUGCAAAUGAUACAAAAAAUACAUGCAAUCUUUGCAUGGCAAUCAAACCUCUGAAAUGCCCAGGUUCAUGACUCAGCCACAGGUGAGUGGGUUAGGUAAAAUGAAAACAGCCUCAGGGUUUAUAACAGGGUGAAACACCAACUAGUACAUGUUAAUGAUUAAAAAUACAUUUUAAAAAAGCACUUGCACUUCAGUUCUUCUUUGAUACUGAGAAUGCAAAGAAUCUCUGAAGAGUCUGCUUUUGUGCAGGUUUUAGGCCUAACACAUGGAAUGGUCUUUAUUCCAGGUAGGGAUACAGAUUUCUCAAAUUGACCAAACUUUUCAGGGAUUAACUAGACCUAAAAUACUUCUGAACUGCCUGAGUUUUGCUCACGAGUGAGUUCCCUCCCUUUGACAUGGGCUGGGCAUAAUGCCAGAGAGAAAACAGACAGGUGGUCAGCUGUCUAAUGAUGGAGAGAUCCUGGGGAGAAGGAUGACCCACCUGCACAAACCAGGACAGGCAGAAGGAAGCCUGUGUGGCCUCAGCAGAACUGUUCCCUAAGGUGCAUCACAUUUAAUUGCUGUUCCUCAUACCUACAUGUCUAAGAAAGUACUGGAAAUUGUCACUCACUGGUUUUAGCACAAAUGCUGGACUUUUAAUAUUCUGAGUUUUAUUAACAUUAUUAGAGAACCUUAAACAACUUAAAGUAUUCACUGACUAAGGAUAAAAUUUUCUCUGUAGUUUCAAUAGGAAAAUAUUAAUCGCAUUGAAGUGCAAAGUCAUUUUAAGAAAAAGUCAUGGCUAUUUUAACACGAACUACACAUGAACAUUGUCCCUGCUCAGCUCCUUGAGCUCCCUGAAAGUCCAAGUAACUGCAAAAUUAGUGUGUAUAGCCACUGUCACCUCUGUGAGAUCUGCACUUGUAGUCACUCCGUUAUAGCAUACCAGCCUUGGGAAGAAGGAGUGCUGAAAAAAAUAGCCAAAGCUCAUGCUAAAUACUUUUGAUAGAAAGUGAUUUGUUUUGAAGUGUUAAGCUGGCUUUGAAGCCUGUGGAUUGAUUUUUAUUUUCUUUUUUUGGGGGGAGGCAGCUUUCUGCUAGAAAUACCACUUUAGGAAAAAAACACCUCUGGUAAGCUACUCUCCCCUUAAAGCUGUGAGUUCAGUUUUUUAACUUAAUAUAUGCUACUUUUAAUCACACGUUUUUGGUAAACCAGGCUGGAAAAUGAGAGGAAAGGGAGGGAAGAUCAUUGUUUGCUUCUGAGCCCUAGUGUCUGCUAGAAAUUAUUAAUGUUUGUUUCACAACGGGGUGUGAAUUACUUGGUUGCAGUCAACCAUUGUUUGGAAAUAUAUUUUGGAAUGUUUCCUUUAUGAAAGGUUUUUAUUUGCUUAGGAUUCAUGAUUCUGUAUUUCUUUCAGCUGUUCACAUGUUUUGUCACUGCAGUAUUGCUCAUUUUAUAGUAAUGGGUUCAGCUAAUAACCAGACAUUUAUUUCAAACUACAUCUUGAAGCAUGGUGAAAAUCUAGCUCCUGAAAGCUGUAUUAAAGCAGGAUCUCAUACAUUGUGCAUUCUGCUAACAGUGGUCCUGGGAUUUAACUUUUAAUAGAAAUCUUCCAUUAUUUCCUGGAAAUAAUUAAAUAAAAGGUGGUCCUAAAUUUUUGCAAGUGUGGUGAACAUAUUUUCAAAUGUGAUGAUCGGGAUCGAACUGGUUUGAGUCUUUUUAUAUGCUGGAAGACAGCAGUUGUUUUUUCAAUUUUUCUGACCAUACAUUAAUAGCUGCAUAAAAUGUAUCUGAGUUCAUUAAUGGUGGAUGAUCUGGAUGACUAAGUCUUACUUUUGGCAGUGGAGGCGGAAGUGGGGUUUUCUUUUAAUGGUGUUGAUUAGAACUGGAUGACUUCCAGAUAGAUCAGUUUAAUCCAAAUAUUACCAGCACCACCUCCAAUUUGUCGGAGGGACGUAUGUGCUGUGGGAAAGACAUAGAGUUGGUUGGACUGGUACAAGCAUUGAGGCUGGAGUGCCUUUCUCACACAGUGCCAAGAUUUGAGGGACCAAGUUGAAUACCAGAAUUCAGAUUCAAGCUCCUGGUUCAGUGUUGCAGUGCUGGGUACCUAGAACCUACUGCUAACGGGACUGUAUUUGUGGUUUGGUAAGCACUUCUGAAGAUACAUUUUGACUUUGGGACUUAAUGAAUUUUGGCAUUCUGGAAAACUAGUAUCAUGGAUGAAAAUUAAACUUUGCUAGCCAUCUAACUAAUUUGGCCAAAAUUUUGAUGUUUCAGGCCCUACAACCACUUUCUUCAGGAAUUGCCUUAUCUUAUUUUCUUCCGGAUCUACUUUAAUUAUGUACAUGCAAGCGAAGAGGUCACCCUAGCGGAAAAAUCUGGGCAAUGGUGUUGUGCGACCUUUCUGUCACAGUUGCCAUCUUUCAUUGUGUUUGCUACGUGGAAAUAUACAGAUUUAUCUGGUGUGUUUGUUUUGGAUUUUGGAAGGGCAAAAAUACUUACAUUCUCUCAUCUGAAGCUGAAGAAGACCCCAGCAGUGCAACAGGGGCUGGCAUCCUUGCAGCAGCUUGUUCAAAGGCUAUAGUACUGCCCACCUUCCUCUUGCUGUCCUGGUAAAGGCAGAUGGACUUUCCACAUUCCUCGAAGAACUUGGGCUAGUGGUGCAAACUGGUGGGAGUGGUGGGAGAAAAGCAAAGAAUAUGCAUCAACUGCUUCCAAAGCUCAGCACAAGGAAAACAGAAGGGUAGCUGACACCAACUCUCCAAAUAGCCUGACAUUCACCCACCUUUAUGAAGGACAAUGGUGCACAUUGGAGAAGCCGAUGGUAUUACCUUGGCAAUAAACAACCAGAAUGAAGAGUUAAUCUGAUCCUUCGGUCUUCCUCCUUUCUUCAGCAGUACCAAUAACGAACUUUGCAAAUGAUCAUCGUCUUAGGAGACUUAGGUGUGAAGAGCAGUGAUCCAUACAGUUUAUAACCAUUCUCUCUUGGUGCUCUGAAAAGUGAUCUGGCUCCUGCAGUUUCUUGGAUCAUGCUACAAAGACUGCUUCUCCAUGGCUGACUGUAUUGUGCAGUCUUCUACUAGAUGUUAGGAUUUCAGUUUCCAUAUAUGCAAGCAAGUGGUUUCUUCUGCAAAUAUUUGAAAGCUGUGGUGAGCACUCCACCCAAUUUCUGGUAUACAACUAAAUGAUAUUUUAGGCUAUUUUGAUGUUGAAUAACUGCUAGGAGAACGAUGCACCCAUUUAGCAGGAAUAUGAAAGGACUGAAAAUAAAAUAAUGACUACUCAUGAAAUAAAACGUUACAGGUGAGUUCUUUGGUUUUCACGGCACACCUUUUUAAAAGUCUUGGCUUCAGAACAAGAAUCUUAGCCUGGGAAGAAAAGUUCAAAUGUGAUUUCCAGGAGAUACCUCUAGAGAAUUCCUUUAAACAUAUAUAUAUAUAUAUAUGUAUGUAUAUUUAUUUGUUUGUUUUUCUAUAGACUUUUGUCUGACAAUUGAUUUCCCCUUGCAUUUGGUUUACAUUACAGCAUGUGCUCAAGCAAUUGUUCUUGGAGAAGAGUUGUGUAAACAUAUAUCAAUUUAAUCUAUCUGUGCUAAUAGAAACGAUUCUCUAUGAUUUUCUUGGCACUGUUGAGUUUAUGCCAUGUACAUCCACUUUACUUCCCUCUUUCUAGUAUUGUCCAUAGUUUACGUUCAUUAGUCUCAGGUUUUAUAAUUCUUUGUCCUUCAUAUGGCUUGAAUUUUGUGCACAGCCUAGGACUGUAUACGUUGGGAACUAGUGUGGAGUUCAGGAGAAGUAGGGCUACUUUUCUUCUCUGUGAUUUUGAUCCUUUGGGACUCCAGGGAAGUCCUUCAGUGUUUUUCACUCUUCCUACAUUCUUUUUAUUGUUAGAAUCUGAGAGCGAGCUCUUCAAGGACUCUGUGACCACACAGUGACUUGAGAAAUCUAUCUGUGAGUGUCUAGGUGCCACCAUGGUUCCCAAAAGGUGUGUGCCUUAGGAGAAAAGUUUUCAUUGGAAAUAUGAGGGUAUAUUUUUAGUGCUUUUUCAUGACCUGCUAUGUCCAUUUACAGGCCUCUUGUACAGCCACAAAUGAUUUUGCAGCUACCUAGAGGGGAAGAAGCACCCUUUUUCCUGGAAUGAGGUCCCACAUAAACUUCACUUCUUCAGAGGCAUUUGUAUUAUCUUUUCCCUCAGGGCUGUAUCAUUUAUUGUCUGUACUGUGUGUUUGUUUGCAAAUCUGAAUCUUCUUGCAUAGAUGUAGAGACUCUGACUCUGUCUUAUGGAUGGAGGACAUCACAGGCAGCAUAUUCUGCCUUGGGGUCUGCAGAGAGCCAGGUUAGAGUCAGUCAACACUGUCUUCAGCAUCUGGAUCUCCAAAUAUGAGCUCAUGCUGCCCACUUAUUGAAGUAACUCUGCAAAUCUAUAGAUUACAGCCCAUUAUCAUUAGACUGUUUAAUCCAACACCUUCAACCUGACUGAAACUAAUGACCGGUCCCUAUGCUGAGCUCAGGUCUGGUGUGAUGAAAAGUGUAGGUGAUGUUGGCUGCUCCUCUUCAUGCUCUCAAAUGAUGCAUCUGCUCAUUAGAUAAAGGUUUGGGGUGCUGUUGCUUGGGUGUCUGGCAGCUGACAAAACUACCUCGAAUGUGCAGUGAUUCAUAAACACAGGCUGGCAGAUGCAUUUAGUUAAAAUCUGAUUCCAGGCUUGUGUCUUACCCUUAAAAGGCUUUCAUCCAUCUAGCAGCACCACUGAGUUCUCAUAGAGACUGAAGCUGAGCUAGUUGUCUGUCUUCCAGGUACUUAUCUUCUAAAGUGCUGAAACAUCUUUUGGGUUUUGCUGCCUUCUGUGUCAUGGGAACCCCAGUAAAAGCAAAUGGUUGGGGGAGAGCUUGCCUUUUUAGCAUUUCCAGGCACAGCAGUGAGACAAAUAAAUGGAAGAAACCCCACCCAGGCCUGUUAAACAUGAAGAUGCUGAUGCAACUGCUGGCUCAGGAAGUCCUAGAUUGUGCAGUGCCAGAAACUGGUGGAGUAUACAAGGGAAAUAUCUCUGUCUGCUUGCCCUUGUCUCUUACACUGUUCCAAACUAUUUGCUACUUUGAAAUCAGCUACUGAAUUAAAUGGAUCUUUGGUGUGGUCCUGUAGAGCUGGACUUAUUAACUUCCUAGAUUGUUUCCCAUGUAUUUGAAAACAUUGUGUGGUCUCCACAAAAAGUUGGCAGAUCACAAGCCUGACAAAAUGUAUGCAUUGCAUGACAUUUAAUAUGAGUGUUUUAGUAAUCUCUAGUGAACCAAAGGAUUAAUCUGGACUGAAUGGACAGAGUCAGCCAACAGGGCUGACUAAGGAGAGAGGCUUUAAACACUUAACUUGACCAGUCCCAUCAGUUUUCAUACUUAAAUCACAUGUUUCUGGAUGGCUGUGUGCAAACUGGUGUUAGAGAAAUCUUGCUGAAUAGUCAGAAAACCUGAGCUAGACAUUGUCAAGGGGCACUUGAAUCUGCCAGAAAAUCUGACUCCAGAAUACAGGAGUCAGCUGGGGAGGUAGGAAUGGUUCUCUGAAUUCAGGAUCCCAAGACCUACAGCAAGGAGAGGCAAGAGUUCUUGUGGAGUGGAGCUGAAACAGCCACACAGGAGCUUUCUUAAGUACAGCUGAGGACUUUCCUUGAAUUAUGAUUUACUGAUUUAUCUUUUAUUUCUGUGCUUGUAUUUAAAACCCCUUCUUUAAAUCUUGUGAAGUAGACAGUCCUGCUAAAAAUGCCUAUGAAUUUGUCAUUAAACUUGGGUUGAAGUGAGUGAAGGUCAUACUGAUAAGCUUAGGGUACACUGUUCCUGUGGAGGUGAGAGAUAAGAGUAAAGAAGUGUACAAGUAAUGUAAAGGGUACGUUAAAGAAAUUCAGUGAUUGUAAUUUGCCUCCACGGAAUCAGCAAAAUAUGGGCUUAAUUCUGACAGAUGCUCCUCCUUCCUUCAAGGAGGGAAGUAGUGGAGCAACUCCAAGACCAUCCCAAAUUAAGAGACUUGCACUGGGAAAAAGAGAUACCAUUAGCAUCUUGCAUAUGACAGCACUUCUUAUAUAUUCUGGAUCAUGCCAUGCCUUAAGGUACAGCACAAGUAACAAAUAUGGGGCAAAACACUUCUUCUUGGCCCAUCCCUAUGUGUCAUAGGGGAAAGAAUGAUAUCAUAAACCAAAGGCAAGCUAGAAAGAGAAAUAUACUAAAAUAAACUGAGCUGGUCAGAGAAGAAUGGCAACAACAGCAAUAGAAUUAUUUUAGCUAGUUAUAGACAAAAAGGCAAAAUUAACAUAAGGUUUCAUCCUGCUCUUUGGCUCUGAGCCAGAAUCCAGUAGUCCUGCUUCACUUCCGGCAUCUGAGGCCAUACUGAUCAACCAGGAGUAAUUAAUGGUUGUCAAAAUGGGUAAAAUUGAUAGUUUCUUUACAAAAAGAACAAUUUGGUGUUAUAAUUCUAUUCACUAUUCCUUGCUUGCUGUUCUUUUCUAAAUUAAAAACAAACCAAACAAACAAACCCUCACAGAUCAGAGAAUCACAGAAUAUUAAGCUCGGCAGCAGAAUUGUCUUCGGAGUGUGCAGUGUAUGUAUACUUAUAGUACUUAGUAAUACAUUGUGAUAAGAAAGGGAACAUUUUUGAGUGGAUAUUCGAGUUCAGUCCAUGGACAUGAAUUGUUGCAUAAAUUAUAUUAAACGUGAGUAGCCACUGGACAAACUCUGCCUCUGAGAUACUGAGCAUUUUACUUAAGCAGUUGAUAUUACUGAAUGCUUGACAGUUCCACUGUAUGAUAGUUUUCAUUACUUUACUGCCUUUGAAAUUCCAAAUAGGGAAAUUCAGUCUAUAUGGAGACAUUAAUUUUACAUGUGCUUUUUUUUUUUUGUCAUUUUAGAAUUAUUUUUUGUCAUUAACACGGAAUAAGUAAUUUUUACAAAAUGUUAUAAACAAUAUCCAUGAAAUCCAGUGGGUAACUUGUUUGAAUCUCAGCUAUGCAUUUCCUUUUUACAUCACUGAGGACAACAUUGUCCGCACUUUGUCAUAUAUGACCUCUUCUGCCCAUCAUUUCUUCUCACCUACACCUCUCCUCUCAUUCAGACCAUUGUGGUUCCAGUCAAAAGCAGUCUAUUAGGUGUAAGACUUUCAAAGCAUACAGUAAUUUCCUAUCAACAUCAAAGCAAAUUACUCCAAUUUAGUUUCUCUUUAGAGAAGGAAGAGUUCCUUUAUUUUCAUACUGGAGCUCAUUCAUUCUUGCUACGUGCUGCUGCAGAUAUCGUUCCCUUCUUAUGACUUUUUUUUUUUUUUCCUGAGAACUGUGAAUUUCAGUUGGGCAGUUUUAUUUGUCAUUUUAAAGGAAUGUAUUCCGUCAGCUCAGCUCUCAGACUUGUGUUCUUCUAAUGUAAGUGGAAUAAAUUAAGUUGGCCACACACAAAAUGGUUUUACAAAUUAUUUUGAAAAAAUGAAAGGGCCACGACAGAGUAAACAAAUAAAUUUAUCAUUUUGUGGCAUUGUGGUUUUGCUUUCAUAUCAAAAUUUACAGCUUUCUGAAUACUCAUAUCAGAGCUUUAAAUUAAUAUCUGGUUUUCUGUGUUUCAGUUGAACUCCUUCAGGUCAAAUUUCUCCCUUCAUACAUUGCUAAACACCAAGUGACAGAUGGACUUCAAAUGCUAGUAGUUAAUACAGGAAAUUAUUAUUUUUUUUUUUUUUUUUUUAAUAAAACAAGGAGAUCACAAACAUAUAAAACAAAAGUCCUUCUCCCUCCAGACUUGAGUUGAAAAGUAAGCUUUCUACAAAAUUCUAAAAUUUCUUUGUGAGAUUUCUAGAUUACUCUUAAAAUAGGAGAGGCAGAGGGUGAACAAUUUGAAGAGAAAUUGUCAAAAUCUUUAGAAAUCACCAACAAUUUUAAAAAUAAUUUCCUUCAUAUAAUUAUGCAUUUUCAUCUGUUGUUUUUCCCCUCUUACUCAAAAUUAGUUUAUAUUUAUGUUUCCAGGACCUCCUUAACUGUGUUUCCUGUCUGGAUUUGGAGCGAAGAGGUUUAAUGAGGCAAAAUGGCUGGUAGUUUGAUGCUAACCACCAGCAGCACCAUUUGUUAAUCCCAGUUUCAUAGUAAUUUAUGUCAGAUUGCAAAAGCUACUCAGCUUGACUGAAAAACUCAUUCAAACUAUCCUCUUGCAUGGUCUGAUGGUAAUCUGGUAGAUUACUGAUGCAAAAAUGUGAGUUCAAAGUGCAGGUUUAGAUGUAAAUUGAUGAUUUCCAAAGGUUAGGUCACUGAGGUUUUCUAAGGAGCUGAGAGAAAGACCUAGUGUGGGAAUUGGAACUUGCUCUCACUACAGGUAGGACUUACCAGACCAAAGGUUUUGGCUUGGGCCCAAAUCCGAUGAAGAUGGGAAUGAGAGACCAUGAAAUGUAACUUUAAUCCUUCUCUUCAAAAAUUUAAAAUAAAAUAAAAUAAAAUUCAUGUGUGUUUCUGCCUUUGGGCUGGAGAGAUUCUAAGAGAUUUGUAUGUAGAUGUGUCUUUAGUGUUUUGAACCAAUUUUACCUUCCAGAUCCUUUCAGUAAACUCUAAGUGUGAGAGUAUUCAGUGUGGUUUUCCUUAUACUCUGUUUUAAUAAAUAACAAUGAAGACUGGGAGGGGACAGUGGGCAGAGGACUUGGUUUGCUUUUUUUUUCAUACCUGAUGUUGCAGACUGAAUAUACAAACUGUGAAGAGAGAAUUUAAGCUGCCAGCAUUUUUUUUGCAGUGUGUAUGACCGAUCGGUUAUUUUUAAAGGUAAAUAUAGCUUUGGUAGCUUUUUCUAUUUAAUUUACUGGCCAAAUUUUCUGAUAUAAGUAGGAUUUCUACUGUGUUUAAUUAAUUAGAAAGACUAACAGUGAAGUGUUUCUCAGCUUAAUUAUUUUGAAAUAAAAUCUCAAAGCAACAAGUUUUAGGAUAAUUAGUGGGGAAAAAAAAAAAAAAAAAAGAAAGCUUUUAGCCAGGAAUAAUACAAUGCAUGGUGGAAACCAGAAUUUCACUUCAUCUAGGUUUAUUUUCUUGAACUAACUCACCAGGAUGUACAGAGUUCUCCCACAUUUGCAUGCCUGUGCAGCAACCAGCCAUGGGGAUUUUGCUGGCUCUCCCCAGGCCCACAGAGACAGGCAUGUAGCAGCUCAGGCUGUGUGUGAGAAAGGACAUAUAGGAAGAAGUUAGAAAACAAAGCCCUUUAUGACCAUUUUUUCUAAUUUAUAACUAAAUAGUCAGGUUUUGUUAGUAUUAAUCUUGACAAAGAAUAAUCUACUGAAGUGCAGUGUGAAAAUCAAACAACACUGCAGUUCUAAGGAUUUUUUUACUAUUACUGUUUGAAGGGUUAUACUUACAGAGGGCACCAGGAACGGUUGGAAUAUCUUCAUAUAACUAUUACAUGAUUUGGGAUAUAUCAUGUUUUUAAAUCUCUGCUCUACAAGGAAAGACCAGAAAAUCUAGUCUAGUGGGCCCUAGAAAAGUGUAGAGCAAACCUGCCCUUCCUUCUGCCACUCUGACAGUGGCUCUCUCUCGGUUAUAUGAGAUCAUGGCUCGUAUACCAGCUUGCAGUCCAAGCUCAGAGAAGAUACCUGAGUUCAGAUUAUUCCAAUCAUGUCUUUUCUCUCUUGUUCUUGGGGACAGUCUUCUUGCCUAAGCAGAGAAGAGAUAUACCUCCUACUGAUACGGACUAUCCACUCGUGCAGCUUUAUUUUUUUUCACGGCUUUAUAAUUGCUGUGCAUCCAUGGUUCUAUGCUGCAAUUUUGUACAAGGAAAGUAAUAACAAUUAUGCAUAACUGUUUCCUGAAACUCUCUGAUGCUUAAUUAUCUGCUGAAAAGAACUUGAGUAACUGUGAGUCACACAUGGCUCUGCUUGCAUUUUCUGGUUCUGGGAAGGGUCUGACAGCUUACCCUGGUACCCAAUGCCAGGGAGUUGGGACUGUAAAUGUUUAUUAGGGUACACUGAUGCUGGAAACCAUCCCACCAGGCACGGUACCAUGGCCAUGUGAGUUGGGUUCCCUCUCUUCUCACAGUAAGAACAGACAUGUUAUUCAGAGAACAAGGACUUGAAGAGAGUGGUUUAUGUGACCAGAUGGAGCCACUGUCAUAAUCUGGUAUGAGCUUCUAGAUAAUUUAAUAAGAAUUGGCAAGAGCAGGUGUCAGUUCCUUGAUGACUUUUUUUUUUAUGUGGAGAGAGAGUGAUGAGGUGUUAAUUAAGAGGGAAUUAGGUCUCAUUAGCCUUAGAUAUACAUGUUUGAUGACAUGCUUUUCUUUAUUUUUUUUUUCUAGAUACAGAGCAUUGCACUACUGGCCUUUAGUCUGAUAAAUAUUUGAAAACCAGAAAGCCAGAGGAGGAAAGCAGAUGCCAGGGCAUCCAUGAUAGUGGUGCAGGCAGUCUGUCUAGGUUUGCUCACCGGAAAACUUGGUCUUGCUGCCUGACCCCUUGGCACUGAUCAAGUCACAGCUCAACACCACAGAGUGCUGAGGUGCCCAUGUUAGUGAGGCUGGUGUCUUCUAUUUUGGAUCCUGGUAAAGCAGAUAAGGUUUAAAUAGGAGGUCAUGGUGCAAGUGUCUGGGGUAUGCUAGGGUUCACUCUUUUAAAUAGAUGUCCACAGCUGAAACACAGUGUGAACUUCUCUUAAGUCUCUCUUUGGGGCCUGAUCAUACCCAUGACAUGUAUUCUUCCUUCAGUCAGGGACUGAAUAUAAACAAGGGGUGUCGGAGUGAUGAGAGUUCAAACUGUAGAAAGUGAUGGCAGCUGAAAGUCAUUGCGGGUUUAAUGCAGAUUCCUGAGCUCCUCAUUCAGGAGCUCACUCCAAGAGCAGUGCUGUGCCACUGCGUUGUGAGGACUGCCAGGGAGAGACACUCGAAAGAAGCUGUUUUUCUUCAGGCAUUACCAAAAAUUAUGAGAAAGAGUAGCAAAUGUCUGGAAGAGGAGUAGUCUCAGAAUUUGCUCUCUUUUAAUAAAAUUAUCUCUUCAUCUGUGUAUGCAUUUCUAUGAGACUGUUUCUCCUCUGCAGAGCAGUCAGCUAAAUGGACAGGUGAAUGCCUACCUGUUCACUCAGCACUCACAUGUUGAAAAGCAGAGUGGAAGUGUGAAAAGCUUUCCUUUUUAGCUACUGAGCUAGUUUAAACUAGAAAAACUCUUCAAUAUAUUUUUCAUUUCAUAAAAAGGUGGUAAUAAAAAUUAUCAAAAUUACAAUAAUCAGAAAAUUGCAGAUAAAGGUCUUUAGGAUGUGUAACUCCAAAGUGUAGGCAAUAGAAUCGUAAUUUAUAGGCUGACACACCAGUCCAGCUACAGGCAACUCCAGCAGUUGCUUUCCUACUUUUUAAAAUAAGGGCACAGCCAUCAGACUAAAUAUAGCAUGCAGCUAUGUAGAAAACUGAAACCAGACAGUGAGACAGGAUACUUUGUGACAGAAGUAGAUCCACAGCCCACUGCAGGCUGGAAAUCCUUCUGCGUUUAACCUGCUGCCUCCCUAAACAUAUUUGCAAUACUGUUCAUUUUGUAUAGCUUCCUUCUGUUCUCCCUCCUCUGCAUUGACCCCCACAAAGAUGCCAUCAUAUCUCAAAAGGGGAGUUACCAAAAGUACUUGGGACACAGCAACUGCUGCUUUUGAUUUCUGCUCUUGAAGGAUGCAAACCCGUCCUUGUGACUCCUACUUUUUUUUCAUUAGAGCACAGAUUUCAGCAGCUGCCUGACCAUGUGAGGGAAAAAAUUAAAGUAUUACUAUUUUCUCCCUCAUGCCCCCUCAUAAAUGGAAAGACUGGAUCCCGUUUCUCAUAUUUGCUGCUGUGUUUAAGUUGUGAUUAGGGCCAUGGUAGUGUGUCAAACUGUUUUAGGUGAAUAGAUAACCUAGGUGAUCCUGAUACCUUCCUGGAAAUGUCAGAUUUUGUGAUUUUUCUGAUUUUUCUUGCAGGCCUGUGGGUUAAUUUGUCUGCCUACCUGUCUUCAAGUUCCUGUGAAUGGAAGUCAGGUGCUACCACUUAUUUUAACUAUAAAACAACCAACUGUUUUGUCUCAAGACCCUUUUCAAUUAAGGAGGCUUAACUCAACUUUUGGGAAAAGUGCUGUAUUUCAUUGUCUUAUGGUAGCCAGUGUGUGUGGCAGGCAGGCUUGGUGGGCCCUGCUGGAGAAAGGGGGAUCCACAGCUACAGCACUGGCCUCAGCAAGUCACUCCACUCAUCUUCACAGCAGGUUGUACAUGUUUCUUCUGAGAAAAGUAACAAGUUGGCCUUCGGCUUCCCUUUAUAAUGAUGGGCCGUGAAUGUUUUCUAGCAUGUGCUCACAUCUUGGCUCUUAGCCAAGUACCACACAAGCAACCUCACUUCAAGAUGCAGGCUGGGCUUGCUGGAUUUUGGAGUCUUAACCUGAAUUUCACUGCCUUCAGCUACCUUUAAAGCAUAUCUUGAUUUGUAUGUUUUCUUAGAGAAGACAUUUCAAAAGAUAAAACAGAUUUGGCAGGAAAAAAAAAAAAGAGAGAGAGAGAAAAUCCUAAGAUAAUGCAACUGGGAAAAGCUUUCUGAUCCGUCUUGACACAUCUGUUGCUUUAGAAGAAAAAAUGAAAAAAUUCUCCUGGCUGCACUGGGGCCCUGCAGCUAUGUGUGUUGGGGGCCUGGCUGUAUAAUUUGUGGAGUGUAAUAAUUCUAUAAUUAUAUUGCUAAUUUUGUGCUACUACUUCUUUAUAAUAACAGAGUGAAGUGAUUUAUAACUUAACAGUUUUACGGGAGUCUAGACAGACUGUUAACUGAAAAUGAGCACUUGCAAUAUAGCUCCUGAUUAAUGCUAUUGUUAAGGGCAUGUUAUCAAGCUGUGUGAAUGUUUGCUGAAAGGGUAGCUUUGUAAAAGUAUUUCAAAGUCAAAAUCUCCACAGUACAGUGCCUUUGUGGUCUUGCCUGUAGGUAUAUGAAAAAUAACAGGAGGGAGGAUGGGAGAAAGGUUAAAACUAAAAGGAAUCUAAGCCUAAGUGAUACACACUAAGAACUCCAAAAGACUGCAGAUGGUAGGAAGAAUUUGAAUUUCAAAACUGAAGAGGAAUUUGUAAUGAAACUAGAGGAACUGGAUUUUGCAAGAGGCUGAAGUAGUUUUUGGUUCAGUAAUGAGGAAGAAUUUGCAGUCUGGGGCUUACACAGGACCUUGUAUCUCAAACCUAGAAGAUUUAGAAGCUCUGAACUAGGUUGCAGAGGCAAGAUAUUUACCUUCUUUUCAUUGAUGCUUUGGAUUGUUGCUUGUGUGAGCUAAAUUCGUGUUUGGGGAGCCACAGCUGCUUUCUCUGUCUGUGGACAUAGAGUAACUGGGUGCUCCCAAGGCUGCUUUUGCUUCCCAAGAUUGCUUUACCCUGGCUGGAACAGAAGGUAGUAGCUGCACUGAAUUUUCAGGCAACACAUAGUAUUGGUGUUCUUUUCUUCCAAAUGUCAUAAAAUGGAAACCUACAAACAUAAAGCAUUUUUACAGAAAUAAAGGGAUGAAAGAAGAAAUAUUGGAAAAAAAAAAAUCUCAUGCUUAAUUACAUGGACACUCUACAUGUAAAAAGAAGCAUAACUUGGUCUUUUUUUUUUCCUUCCCCUAAAACCAGAGUAUUCAACUAUCUGACCUCUUGCAAGGCACCAACCUGGUGUAAGGCAGUCAUUGACUGCAUACUGCUUGCCCUUGGAGUAUUUUAACUGUUGAAAUACAGGUUACAGUAUGAAAAAAACAAUUCUUCUUUCAACUCUAGGUAUUAAAAGAUGGAACACAUCCUAUAUUCUUCCCUCAUUGCUGCAAGUGUUGUUUUAUGGCAAUGGUUCAUUCAGGAUUUCAGCUUUUGGAGCUGAUGAUUUACUACCUUUCACUUAGAUUUUUACUGCUUGCAAAGCUGAGUGUAUAGGCUUAUCAUUCCAGUUAUAACAUGACCUAAGUUAUGAGAUCAUUAUGAAAAAUUCUUCAUGAAAAAUCAUACAAGAUGUGUGGAAUUAUUUUAUUUCAGAUGAUUUUUUCCCCUCAUUUCUCCCUGGAGAAAUUUUUAAGCCAGUUGGUUCUGAUUCGAUACAAAAUACAUACAGUGUUCAUUUUGUACUCAAAAUUCCUUGAUAUAAAGAUCAGUAGAUUAAACAGCAUAUGCUUUUGGGAGGGAAAUAUUUGAAUUUGCAAACUAUAUUAAAGUGAAUAUAUGUAAAAAAUUAACUCUCGGUAUGUGUGUGAUUACAUGUGUAAUUUAAGUGUUCUGCAAAAUAUGAUACCAGACACAUUAUCUAACUCAAUCUGUAUGAGUAGUUUUGGCAUGUUCAGAAUUUGCCUAAUAGACUGAAGUCAAUAGAUAAGUAUAACAUGUUCAGCAUGUCCAGACAAAGUAGUUAUAAAAGAAAGAAGGAGAAGAGAAAUUAGAACAGUGGAAAUAUUUUAAGUAAAGGGACAGGAACUUGGAAUAAGAGAAGUGAAAUAGAAUUUGUGAGUUUAAAUGGCAAUUUGGUAUUUAUUCUUUUUAUUGUUCCAGUUAAAUCAGUUCAUGUCUGCUUCUGCUUCUUUUAAAAUCUGUGCGAAUGUCUCUGCUUUCAUAUGUAGGUUAUAAGCAAACAACUUCUGGUAUACAGCAUGUCCAGCCUAUCAAAUUUUUUUUUUUUUUUUUCAGUUUGAUGGGGCUAUUGACUUUGGGCUUUUAUUCAUGAGAAUUGCACAGUCAAUGACAAAUGUGUGACAUUACUAUUACUAGGGAAGCAUGAUAGGAAGGUAGGAAAUGAUUUUCUGCUAAGCAUGGAUUUUGAUUUUGUCAUUUCAGUUACUGAUCAAAAUACUGAGAUAGAUACAGCCUUUCAGAGCUCUAGUCAAAUGAACUGCAUUAAUUCACAAUAUUUGGUUUAAUUUCUCAUAUUGUUAUCCUGCUAAUAAUCAAAACUUGCUUUAAACCUUGUCUCCUGCAAUGUUCCCUCACAUAGUUUAGUAUAGAGCUUCCAUUUGUAAUCUUCACUGUUUUGCACUGUUUAAUCUGCUUUAAUAUUUGGCGUUACUGUAUGCUGUUCUGUAGACCUGCAGCUACAAACUAAGUACACAUAUGAGCUGAAAGCCAGGGGAAAGGAAAUAAAAAACCUAAGAAUACAGGCUGAUACUACUUUCUCCUUUCUUAUAAUUCUGCCUUCUACUUCAAAGUAACAAGUUACAUGAGAUGUGUCUGGGGGUAAUUUUUUGGUAGAUGUGUUUCCAAGCAAUUUAAGGACCUAUUAAGUUGUCUGAACUAAAUACGUCCAAUUUUUUUUUAUUAUUUAUUUUUUUUUUAUUUUUUUUUGUGAGAUAUAGAAUAUAUUCUGUGGCAUAGGUCUGUAAAAUGCACAUCUCCUUCUGUUAGAGCUAUUUAUUCCUGUUGUGUCCUUUUGUUUUAUAAGUGUGUAUGGACAUCUCUUUGUCAAUAAGUGUUUUGUAAAGACAGGUAUAUAAAAGUGUAAACAUUCUCAGUUUGUUUGAAAUAUAUACUGAAAAAGUAUUAAUAUAUUCCAGUCCUAGAAUACAUAAAUUUGAUAAGAGCAUUCAAAAGGGACUAGCUGGAGAAAAUAAUUUCCAAAACAUCAUAAAAGCAUUAAAGAAAUUAAAUACCAUUUCUUUCUUGAGGGGAAUUCUACAAAAAGACAUUUAUCAAUAUUGAAUAGCCAAAACAAAUCCACCUGCAACACUGCUAUGCAUAUCCUCUUCCCACAGAUUGACACACAACCUGGGCAUGUAUGGUCCUGCACAAACACCCUCUUCAACGCAGCAAGACAUAGGGAUCUUUUCCAAAGACACAAGCCUUCCUUAGCCUAGUCAACAGGCUAGACUUCCCUAACCUAUGAAGGCCUGUGGCAGCAGCUUCUGCACAGUAUCAUUCAGUGACAUAAAGUUAAGUACCUGUUGUGAACAAAUGCCACUCUUCUGUAUCUGCACCUAUGGUCAGAAAAAGGAUGCAGGACCUGAAGUUAGCUUUGAGGAAUAAUUCCCAUAAUUUCAACCAGAUUGCCUUUCAUCCACAAUGCUCAAGUCUUAAACUCAGGUGCCAUAGGUGAAGGCUGACCAGUUUGACUUCACCAUAUCAGUGGAUAACCUUUUCUAGUUGCUGAGGCUUUACAUAUACAUAUGUCAGGUAUCUUCUAGUUCAUACUUGCACCCUGUGAAAGGUGCUCACUUGAGCAGCACUAUGCAUGUGUGUGGUGUAUGAAACUGGCAUCCUUUGUGUAUUAUUUAGAAUCUGCUGAAUUUACAUAUUUGUGACAACUCAGGGGUGCUUUGGAAGAAAAGAUAUGAAAAGUUAUUUUGCGUCACUGUCUGAAUAUACAAUUUCAUUAGCCUUCAAAAAUACUUUGUGCAGGUGUCAACCAUGGUGACAUGCCAAAGCAGAGACUUGGAGUUUCUAAGCUAAUUUUUAAAGGUGUUUUCAAAGUAUAAGCCUUCUGCAGUGCACAGACCCUUUAAAAUCCUUAGUCAGCUGAACUGUAGUUACCUGUCAGACAUGAGGGAUAUGUGGCUGUUACAACUAACUAGAAUUAGGUCCUGUCUUUCUCAUCAGUCAGACUUCUAAUACUGGUUAAUAUGUACAUUUUGCAAUUUAAUAAUUUUAAACUGGAAAAUGUGGUCACAAAACUGGACACUGAAUGAAUUUAGUCCUUUGGAUAUGCUCUCUGCACCUUAACAAAAUAUAUCACAGUAAGUUAAUAAUUACUAUUUUUAUACUGUGUUAUUUUAUGGAAAGUAUCUCUCACCAGCAGGAAAGUACAAGGACUUCUUGGAAUCACUAGGGUGUAAUGAAAGUUGCCAAAAAUGUAAACUAAUACAAAUUUUCUUAUGAACCAUGAAAAUAUUAUGUUUGAACUAAAACUGUAACCUUUUGCCUUUGCAUGAGAACAGCAAAAAAAUAUGAACAGGGAUUUAAAAAAAAAUGUGUAUGUGUAUAAACAUCUGAGGUCUCAGGCCCUGUUUUUCUAUUCAACCUCAAAUGUCUAGAAAAUACCAGCCAACUAAACUAACAUCAGAAGAUCAAUGAAUGAUCUGUGAGUAAGUGGAAAACUUCUAGUCUGAUUAAAUCUGCAAAAAGAAUCUUAACAGUGGGGUCCCCUCUUUUUGCUUCUCAAGUGCCUUAGUAUGCAUUUAAUUGCAGCAAGAUACUUUUUCACCUCCAUAAGGGCAUUUUUUCAGAGAUUUUCUCAUUCUACUCUUACUUCCUCAACUCAUUAAUCCAACAGACUUUAGCCAACAUGCCAGCAAUACUCUGAGAAAAAAAGCAAGCAGCACCCAGCAACACAACAUCAAGACAAAAGUAUUCCUCCCAAAGAAACAAAAAUAGUAAGUUCCCAAGAUGCUACUUGCUCGGGUGUCAGAGUGUUGAAAUAUGUCAGGAGAGCAUUUCAAUUUCCUAGACUGAAGAUCAACCAUGGGGGCACACAAUCAAACCAGAAGGCCUAUGAAGGAAGAAGAUAACUAAAAAAGAGAUGGAUCUUUUAAGUGAAGUUUUUUCCUCGAUGUAUUUAGUUGUGGAUCAAUCUAAACAUUUACUGAACAAAUCCAUACUAAUAAUUAGUUUUGGCAAUAACAUGAGAAUCAAAUUUGUUUUCCAAUCUGAAGUUUAAAAAAAAAACCAAACAAGCCAAGCAAACAAAAAAAACCAAACCACACUAAACAAAACAAACAAAAAAACCCCAACCAACCAACAAAACAAACAAACAAACAAACAAAACAACUCACAAAAAAACCCAUAACCAAAAAUACCCCAAACAACCCAUUUUAGAGAAACAGACACAAAAUCCAGAACACUUUGUUGAAUAUCUUAAAGAGGGAAUGGUGUGACUUCUCUAUUGCAAAACUUGUUUACCUUUCAGAAUACAAUGUGGAUUCUUUUCUUUUCUCUUUUUCUUUUUUAUUUUUCUAAAGGGAAUACAAGGGUUAAAUAACCUGAAAGAAGAAAAGGAUGACAUUAAUGUUCUACCUGACCCCAAGCAUUUUUUUACAGCUUUGGUUCAAUAACCCAACUAAAAUAUCCCUUGUUAACAUGAUUCUAAGUACAAGGUACCUUAACAACAGUUCCCAGGGGAUUUUGUAACACCUUUGUCAAAUUCAGUUUAGUGUCAAAGUGGCUGAGAACAUGUUCAUUCUAUGAAAAAAGAGGUAUUUCAACAUUUCCAUCCCAAUUUUGGAAGAAAACAAAUGUUGAAAUAUUAGAAUUUCCCCCAGGAUGAAAAUUCUAAUAUUUUGCUCGGCUCUAGUUUCCAAUAACUCUUACACUUUAAUUUUGUAAUAUUGAACUUAAUGUUUCCCAUGUGAGUAUUAUAACACUGGUGGGUAAAACUUUAGUCACCUCACAGAUUAGGCAUGCAAAGGAAAACAGUUCGUGUAUAUAGAGGGACAGAUCUCUUCCUUCACAAGUCCCUUCCUCUUGUUUCCCCUGCUGAUGAGAUGUCAGUUUAUUACAGACUUGAUGAAUGGAGUUUCCUUUCUCAGGAAACAGUAGUCAGGCCUAUGGAAGCAUUUAUGUAACUACAUAUGUUCCCUCCGUGGAAGUUUCCUUAUUAUCCCUUCCCUUGGCUGUGUUGGACCGCAGUCAGGGACAGCCUGAAGGGGAAUGGUGAAGUGCGGCUUUUGGGGCAUUUGUGGGAAACAAAACUUGGCAGUCCUGGUCUUAAGAGUUGUGAAGCCACAACCGACCCCUGCUUGCACCUCUGUGGUUUGCUGAGUGAGAUACCUUCUGUGCAGUUAAUCCCUACGUGCUCAGAAAGUCUGAUGUAACCUGCUUUUCAUGGCUGGGUAGGGCAACCUUACGUGCACAUGCACUGAGCCUGGUUUCAUUGCACACAUCACAUAAAAUCUCUCUUUAGGGCGUGAGGUUGCUUCCUAUCAGGUCAGGUCCCAAUCAGCCCAGAUUUGAGGUUGUCUUUGGUACUUGGCACCUCCAAACCAUAAGGCAAUAGGAGCUUCUCCAAAGCACACACUUUCCUAGAAUUCAAAAUACUUUACAGAUUAGUUUGGUCUACUCGGUUUUACAGAUCAGAAAACUGAGGUGUCGAGACCUGCAGUUAACAAGUCAUAUUCUGUAGCAGAAUUAGGCCUGUAGCCUGUGACACCAGACUUCAAUGUCUUACACUUCAGUGUUUGACCAAGGUCAUCAACAGGUAUUUCACUGGAUGUAUGUUAACAGGUCCUCGCCUUAGUUCUAUUUUCCUUUCUUAAACAGAGCAAAUCAGUGUCUGUCUCCUGUUGCUGCUGCUGGAACAGCUCUCCACUGCUGCUAGGGUGUCUUUCCUGAUAGGUUCUUUCGCCAUCAUUUAUAAAAGAGGGUGUCUCUCUAACCUGAUAGGUAAGAACGGAAAGGCAGGAAGCAAGGGAUGAAUCCAGCUAUAGGAAUAAUUCUCUACUGAAUGACAGGUUAGACUGGCUCAGUAAUAACAAUAACAAUAAUAAAUCUUCUCUUUCUACUCUAGCAACGCUGAAGCAGAGGAGAACAUCUGGCUUAAUCUCUUCAAUGUAUUAACUCAAAAUAGCAUAUACAAUGUUUUCUGCUGGUUGUCAUGGACUUGUCUUGUUACAACUUGGACUUCCUCUUUCCAUACUUGCACUUGGUAUUUCUUCUGUGCUCUGUUGAGAUUUUCUGAUAGAAGGUGCAGUGCCAGGUCAAAAUACUGCUGUAGAUCAGACGUAGUCAGCCGUCUAGGGUGUUGUGCUGGCAAAUGGUAUGUCAGUUUCUUGUGCUCCAUUUCCCAGCAGAACCUGAGGAAAUGCCUUAUUUACAGACUGGUGUAUUUUCAUUUCGGUGGGUUUCAGAAUUACGAUAUCCUUUAUUCCAUCCCUCAGCUGGCCACUCACCUCUUCAUGAGCUGUUGCUCCCAUGGAUGGAGUAGAAUUCUCCAGCUCUGACUCCGGGUAACUUUGCUGUGAGGUACUUCUCUGCCUGCCACUGGUGGUGGUAAAGGAGAAGACUACUGCAGACAUUGUUUGUUCGCAAGACUACAAAAUUAGGAGAAAUAUAUUUUAUUACUCUUCUUCCACAUGCCCUUCUAACAAUCAAUUUACUUCCUUAUGCCCACCUAUCUCCAUUUUUCAUCAGUUUUACGCCUGAACUAGCAUGAAUUACAAUGUAGCUUUUUUGUUACCAGGAUCUAUUUUUGAAAGUAUCCUGAAAACCUACCAACUUUCUGUCUUUUCUUCCUUGGUUAGAAGGUCUGAAUUUUAUUUAAAUAUGUGUUUUUGUUAUUAUUAGCUUUUUUGAUAAAACACACAGCCUUUGCCAAAACCUAUGAUAGCUGAGCACGUGUUAGUGAUAGCAUUGGAAAGAAGUGGGGGAAAAAAAAAGACAUGAAGAGGAAAUGUCUUGUACUGAUGUUUUUGUUCUGUUAUUGACUGUUCUUGUUUGGUUUUGAGUGCUUUUUAAAAAUGUGUGUGCAGUUCCCAGCUUACUGUCUCAGUGACUCAUAGCAAGAAUCCUUUUCAGUAUCAUUUCCUGAAAACUGGCCCCAUGUGUUUAUGAUAUGUUAAGCCUUACUGAUCAUCUCACUCUUCCAUGCUCAGGCCAGCACCUAUAUGUUGUCAGCUAAUUUGUAUAUGCAAACACUCCAGAAUAAACUGUCAAAAGGAACAAUUAUAAGUCACUACUGUAGUUCAUGGACUUUGGUGCAUGUUAUUAAUCUCAUUUAAUUUGCUUUCUCUGUAUUAUGGGGCUGCUUGGGUGUUUUGAAUUAAUACAUUAUUAGAUUAAAAUAUGUAAACAUCUUGUGGAAAUGGGAUUGGGAUCUAAAACUCCUCUCCAUCAAAGGUUAAUCUCUCUGUUGAUGGGCUGGAGCAUAAUGGUGGGCUCUUUUGUUGGAUUGCCUCUUGCCCAAUACAUGCUUUUUAUAUUGGUCCAUGUGAGGGGUGGAAAGUGGUUGGUCUGUAUGUUUCCCCAACCAAGGAAUGUCUGAUUCUGACUGUCUCCGGCAAAAUAUGAGGUGUGGCCUAAAACAGCUCAAUUGGAGAAAUGUGUUAACUAUGUUUUUCAAAAGAGGAAGACACCACUACUCCUGACUUUAUUACAAAAAUGAAAGUAUUUUUAAGGGAUGAGACAAUCCUCCUGUGCCCACAGGCAUGUUCUUGCAGAGCUCAGUCCCUGCUGGAGUUUCAAACUGUGAUCCCAUAUAUGCACGUGACUUCUGAAGAUUCAACAUUCAUAGCAUGUUGACUGUGUGAAUAUUGCUUCUGAGCAUAAAUUUCUUCUUUUUUCCUUAAAACCUUAAGUAUCUAACUCAGCUUCAUCAGGUGUAUCCCAGGAAUCAAAACUAUGGAUGUGGUAUGGCCUGAGGUGGCCCUUGUACAGAUAUGGACCUCAGCUUCCACACAGACCAUUCUUGUACUCCUAGGAACAUCCUUUACUGUCACUCUUAGUGAGGGGUGUCUUAUGAAGCAGUUGGAUUAAGUACAAUUUAAAGCAUCAUCACAGUCAUGAAGCAAUCAUGAAGAUGUCAGUAGAAUGAUGUCAAGAUGCUGGCAUAGGAACUGUCUAUGCAAGUUCAGCAGCCCCUGGAGGUUUGUGCAGAGCCUGAGGAAAAAGGCUGAGUGGGAGAUGUGGAAGCCGCUGGGACUGCAUGAAAGAGACUGGGGGAAGAGCUUAACGUAACUCAGCAUAGAGACUCUCAUCUUCUGAAUAAAGGAAGAGCCGAUUUAGCAGUGUUGCUCACAGAGCGUGCUCUGCUGUAGCAAUAGCAUCAGUCUGGCACUUAGUCUAGACUAGUAAACUCAACAGGGCCAGACUAUUGCCUGACACUGAGGCAAUGUAUGUGGAGCAGUUCAUAGCUAUGCUGUUAAACUCUUACCCUCCAAAACAGUCAUGGAGACCACCUAUUAGCAAUGGACCCAAGUGGAUCCAAAUUGUGCCUGGAAAAAGUUUGAGUGUUCCCUGCAGCAUAAGUGAAAUCCAUACAAACACAGCCAAAUUAUGGUGCCUGGGAACAUCCCCUUGUGUCAUUUACUGGUGUAGGCAUAGUCCAAAUGUUCCUGUUUCAUUUGUUGUUCCUGACUUGGAGUGUCCCUAGAAAAACAUAUGAGGACAAAUACAAACUUGGGUGAAAAUGUAUAGUUUACCUAAACUUCAUCACAUAAAAAAGGCAAUUUCUCUAGUCUUGGACUUUUUUUCUUCUAAGACUUUUUUUUUUUCCUAACAAAAGUGCUUCCACAAAUCUUUCAGAAUGCAAAACGUCACGUAGCCCCAUUCCAUUGAAAAAUAUGUAGGAUGUGCAUGUGUUUCAAUCUCAUGAGUGCCUCAUGAACCACAUGCACUCAGGAUGUGGAGCUGGGAUCCUACUGCUGCAUAGCCCAGGCUCCCUCCUUGCCUUAAGCCAAAGGAAACUACUAUGUUUAGGAUAUUUCCCCUCAGAUACACGAAGGAAGAUGAUUGAUUUUCUGUAUUCAAUUUGGGGGGAAAAAAAAAAAAAUCCAUCACAGCUAUGUAAUUGGGAAGGGUGGGGUUUUUUUCCACAUUUGGAAUAUGGAAGAACCUUCACUCCUGGUGGAAACAGACCCAAUACAAAUAUUGCUGGAUAUAGAGAAUAAGGUUACUGUGCAGCUUUUAUAAUUAUUUUUCUCUGAACUGUUCAUGUUUUCUCUCACUUCUAAUUUUUUUUUUUUUUUAAUUUAAGCUUCUGUCAUUCCUCUAAAGUUGUUUCUUGCCCUGAUUGAACCCCUCUCCCUGCCCUCAAAAAGCCAGUGUUUAAUCUGAUGACAUUGUCAAAAUGGAUUUAUGGAUUUGUUUACUAACCAGGAUCCGAAUGGGAUGAAACAAGUUUGCCUCUGGGAAUGGAUAUGACUGAUGCUGUUUUCCGAAAGCUGAUUUUUGUUACUUUUUUAAAAAUGGAUUGCUAAUAGAAAAUGAUUUGUAACUAAUGGAAAUUGAGGGUAAAAAGCUAUGUUCUUGCGUAAGUUCUGAAAAUGGCAGCCUGGCAUUUCUAAAGCUUAGAGGUGAAAUGUAACUGUUCUGUGAAAAACAUUUCCUCUUUUAUUUUUGGCAUGUUUUCACUUAUAUCCAGGGUGGUCUUGAGGAUUUGUGGGCUCAAAGAGAACAGGAAAGAUUUUUCAUCAAAUAUUCCUUUCUCUUCCUUUCUCUCCCAUUCCAUCUCCUUCUUCUUUCUUUAUUUCUGAUUUUUGUUUGUUUGUUUUGGUUUUGUUUUUUGUUUUUGUUUUUUUUUUUUUUUUAGUUUUUCUACUAUCUCCUAUUGUGACCAGGUCUGAAGAGUGAAGCAUCAUGUGCAACCCCCAGCCCCAUCAAAAAAUUAACUGUCGGCAUGAAAUCUCUCAGGUUGUUGUGUGGGAGCAGGCAGCAGUGGCUCCCUGAGGGCUCACAGCCUUGCCAGAGGGGUUUUGCUGCUGCUGUUCCCCCUUGUGCCUCCUCUGCCUGACCCAGGGGGAAGGGGUGUUUUGCAUUAUGUUGCUCCUUUCUUCAGGGAGCAGGGAGCCCAUGGCAGGGAUGAGGUUUCUUUCCCUCUACCAUGUUCUUUGCAACUCCACUGAUAGCUGGUUGUUUGGGUUAUUUUGUUUUGUUGGUUCAUUGCUUCUCAGAAUUGCACUUACAGCUUCAGCUUAGUGCAACUACAUUUUCAAGCUUCUGACUGAAUCUUCUCCCAGCUGUGUUUCUCAAUCACUGCAAUUUAAUACUCCCUGGUUUUUACAUUGAAAAUUUUAGGCCUUGUUUCUUCCAAAAUGCACGUAUUAGUGCUAUUAAAACCCCCCAUACCUUUAACUCUAUUCAGUGACUUCAGAAAAUGAAGCUUUUAUCCGUUGUGGGAAGAAAAAAAAAAAUCUUGCUGCUUCCAUUUAAUAGUAUCACAGCCAAACCCAAUGAUGUGAGAGAGCACAUUGGCAUUGGAAUAGCCCUUGCUGAGGAGAAGCACAUUCCAGAGGAAAUUGAUUUUCAUGUCACCAGCUUAUGCAUAUUUUGAAAAUUAGGUUCUGAGCCAUGGAGUUCACAGCUGAUUUAUUUUUCUUUGUUUUUUGCUAAACUUUUUCAAAUGGAUAUUUAGUGAACUAACAAGUUGCCUCUGACAUGGGCUGAGAAGGUUCUUGCAAAAAAUGAUUAGUGCAGCACAGCGUGUAAGUGGAGGCCCAGACAGCCUUGUGAAAUGCAAAAGAACUGUUAAUGUCAGCCCAUGACUAAAGUCCAGCAAAAAACUCUGGGAUUUGUAAAGCCUAAAGCUGGAAGGUGAUAAUGUGGUCUGCUCUCUGUAUUUCACAAGCUGCUACACUUCAUCCCAUUAUCCAUGUUGAACUCAGUGCUUCCUGUUUAAGUUAAACAUGCCUUCCAAAAAGACAUCCGGUUUUGAUCUGAAAUUAAGCAAGGUUUGCUUUGAUAGCUUUUUUUCGAUGAUUGACAACAUCCAAACAAACGAUUACUUUCAAUUUGUCUGGCAUCAGCUUCCAGCCACUGAGGAUUAUGCUCUUCAAUUAAUGAGGCUGCUAGUUUGCCCCAUGAUGUAUCCAUGCUGUGGCCAUGAUACCUGGCAGUCUUCUCCGUGGUAAGCUCAGUCUACCUCUUGGAGUUAUUUUCCAUAGCUCAAACACUUUCUUUUUUAGCUUUUGUAAUUCUUUCAAUAGCCUUUUAGAGAUGCAAAAUGUGGAUUGUAGCCAGCAUCUUAAUAUGUUACUCUGUGUCUCCUGGUAGUUAUGUCAAGAAAAUCAGUUAUUUGACAUAACAUAUAAAAGCUGAAUGCAUUCAGUGAAUAAUCUCCAUAUAUGAAUCCAGUCAGUUUCAAGUGAAAAUGCUAGCUGGUGACAGCUUGCCUCCUGUCACAUCAGUGUGUAUAUGGCUGGUACUGGUUUUGCAGGAUUCUGUAACCAUUUUAGUCUAUGCCAGAAAUAAUUUUUUCAUGAAACUGCUACAUGCUUUAAAUUAAAAAUUUCUAUUCACCACAUACUGUGAAAUGUUCUGCUCAUGUUCUCAUCAGCAGUCAUAAGGUGUUUGAAAUUCUGCUGUUUUUUUUUCUUGGAAAAAAAGAAGAUUCUUCUCAUCUAAAUUAGGUUUUGUUUGUAUUUUCUUUGAUAACCUACUUUAGGGGAGGAGUGAGAGAAGAGAAAACCUAGGAGAAGAUACAGAUAACUCCUUAACUGGUAUGGUUGUUUCCCCUCAGACCGGAAACUGGUGAUAAUGAAGGUGUCAUUCCCAUGCUGAUGACCUUCUCUUAGUUCAGAUGACUUCAGCCUUAUGGAAUCUCCUGCACCUCUUGGCUGCCAGAGGAGAUAAUACUCCUCACCAAAGAACAACUUUGCUUUGCCUUGCUUUCCUUAGCUGGCACAGCUUCGUUUAUCUGUACCAUUUCACAUAAGAAGUGCCAUUCAUGGAAGGUAAACUUGGCCAUGGUUUUGAGAAUUGCUGUUUGUCUUGCACAUGGUCAGUGCUUUUCCUUGUCAUUACUCACCUCCUAAUUGUGCUUGGAAUUCUGCAAAUGUGAGGAAUUCAGGCUAGACCUGGCCUGGAUUUUUCAGGGCGAUUGCACUUUGACCCCUUUUUGGAGAUGACUGAAGGAGACUGCUGGAGUUAUUAGUUUUCUUUAUCCUUCACCCUCUAAAUUACUCAGUGCAAGAUGUCUGCUUGCACAGUGAAGUUAAUGCUAGGAGAGCAUGCUAGUGACUCUGUGAGUAAUGUAUUCAUUCCACUUAAGAAAGAAAACAGACUUUUUGUGAAAGAAACAUUGUAGAGAUAGGAAUAACUUGUGAAGUGUUGCAUUUUUUCCAUGAGGAUGGGAGGGGAGAGAUUUUAUUAGUCAUUAAUGUCUGUCUCCCCACUCCCUCUUGGAGGUUGCUCUUUAUUUUUGUCAGCAUGUUGUAUUCUGCACAUGCCAAAUUUCUGUUUCUUUGUCACUUACAGGUGAAGUUCAAUCUUCUGGUGAUUUGCAUACUGUAGCUCUUGUGGGAAUGUUUGUAAAACUAGUUUGCUUGGGUUAUAGCUCUUUUCUGUGACUGAAGACAUAACCAGGCGGAUGCUUAUGACACACAUCCCAUGAUGUGCUCUGUGACAGUACCCGGGGAGCCAUAAGGGCAGUGUGUGGCCUGUUUAGAAAAAUAUGUGCCUGGAAACUAACAAAAGGUGGUCAGGAUAUUUUUGUCCUAACAUCUUGGGUCCAUUACUUCCUAAGUUAUGUGAUGACUUAGAUUGUAAGCUUACCAAUGUUGAAAAAAUGAAGUUACUAUUUCUAUCGCAUUUGGGAAGAGGUUUCUAGAAAUAUGCUUUAAGUGGCUGAGCAGACUUCACUGUAUGACAUUCUUGUGUUUUCAUUAAUACUUAGUUUUAAUCUCACUGAACUGAUUUGCUGGGGGCUAAUGUGUGAAGUGACCUUGACUCUGCAGAGUUAGAAGAAACUGAGGAGAUGCUUGGUGCUCCCAAUUGCCAUGUACUUCUGAAGGAGCUUGGUGAUUUGGGUUCCCUACCUUUGACCUCACGACUCUCAAUGUAAGAGCUAAAGAAACCUGUUUGUUUAUUAAAGUCAUACAUUAGUCUCACUCUGUUGUUUUCUUCUCUGAAAUGUAUAUUGGAACUAAAAUGGCUAAAAUUAGUACAA